This 74-nucleotide transfer RNA is filed under the name Microthrixaceae bacterium. RNAcentral's name for it is "tRNA-Ala". It matches the Rfam family "tRNA". Rfam says of the family: Transfer RNA (tRNA) molecules are approximately 80 nucleotides in length. Their secondary structure includes four short double-helical elements and three loops (D, anti-codon, and T loops). Further hydrogen bonds mediate the characteristic L-shaped molecular structure. tRNAs have two regions of fundamental functional importance: the anti-codon, which is responsible for specific mRNA codon recognition, and the 3' end, to which the tRNAs corresponding amino acid is attached (by aminoacyl-tRNA synthetases). tRNAs cope with the degeneracy of the genetic code in two manners: having more than one tRNA (with a specific anti-codon) for a particular amino acid; and 'wobble' base-pairing, i.e. permitting non-standard base-pairing at the 3rd anti-codon position. Lineage: Bacteria; Bacillati; Actinomycetota; Acidimicrobiia; Acidimicrobiales; Microthrixaceae. The record is from RNAcentral. RNAcentral also lists the same sequence under 1 other name.
GGGGAUGUAGCUCAGUUGGCUAGAGCACCUGCUUUGCAAGCAGGGGGUCGUGGGUUCGAUUCCCAUCAUCUCCA